CUGGGAUUGGCUGACCUUGCAGCCUUCCCUGCUGCCGCCUCCACAGCUGCUCCCAGGAGAGGCCUGUAGGACAGGAGAAAUGUGUGGCCAAGGCAGGCUUUAAAGAGGGCUUUGGGAGCUAAGGGACAGUGGUUGGAAUUUUCAUUCCUGAGGCUAUUUUAAUUGUGGGUAAUACAGACAGCAGUAGCAUCUAAGUGAAGUGCUUUAACUCUAUCAGUGGAGGUCUGGAAGCAUAUAAUCAAAUCUUCACCAAGGGCUCUGCUGCCCUUCUAAGGAGCAUCCACAAACAUUAUUCCACAAUGCAAAUUCUGAGCAGUGACAAGAGAACACAAGCUGUGUCCCUAAGACUCAACUAUCAAUGUUAUUGAGGCUGGCCUGGAAUUUGCAGUGAUCCUUCUGCCUCAGCUUCCUGAGAUUACCUCCUGCGAUAACAGAAUGAAGUGGGGGGCCAAGGCGUCCGACCCCGAGGCCCACCUGCAAGGCUGUGCAGCAUCCUACCUGCCCAGUUGGAGGGGUGUGAGAAGGCCUUGCUGCUCUGCACUACCUUCAUGGCCUCUCCCAGAGCAGCACUGGCCUUCAGGCCAUUCAGCAGAGAUGAGUAGAAGGCGUGGAUGAACAUCUUGGAAGCCGCCACUGGCACUGGCCACAGAGACACAAGGACACACUGUGCGCCAGCAGCCAGGAAGGCUCGUGUCAGUGCCACCACCCCAUCUGCGGUGACCCUGCUGUUGGCCUCCUGGGAGGAGCCAAGUACCACGAGCUUCACGGGCAGCCGCAGGUCCAGGAGGUCAGCGGCUGUGAGCAGCAGCUCCCGCAGAGGCGGGCAGUCUGAGAUACUCUCGCCAUCACUGGCAUCGUCCUGUACGCGCAGGGACUCAGACACCUGACUCAACAGAGAUUUAUACCUGCUGUGAAGAGCACUUAAGAAUAACCAGGAUGGGACAGGAGAGGAGACCCUUCCUGUGGGCCAUCUCGAGAUGGCUGGGAAAGAGGUACUGCAGGGACAGAGUCCUGGGUGUGACUGAAUGGAUUUACUGAAAACAGAGGCCCCACCCUGAGUGUGGACAGACAGGAUAAAAGAUGGAACGCAGGGUGCUGCUGCUUGCUGCUUUGCUGUCUCCUGCCUGCCGUGCCAUGGACUGCUUCACCUAUUUGAUGCCCUUCUGCUGUACCACCUUGCCUUGGAGACAGCUGAUUAUGGUCUGAAACCUCUACAAAAUGUUAGCUGAAAUAAAUCUUUGCUCC
Long non-coding RNA from Cavia porcellus (domestic guinea pig), 1245 nucleotides. RefSeq lists it as uncharacterized. NCBI's taxonomy places the organism in Eukaryota, Metazoa, Chordata, Mammalia, Rodentia, Caviidae. The transcript is spliced from 6 exons. The record is from RefSeq and is a predicted model, not a curated record.